CUACGAUUCAACUUGAGGGGGAGUGUAGAAAUUGUAGGAAUCCCAAAUCAAUCAUGGGAUUAUUGUAUUUAUAUUUAUGGUAUGAUUGUCUCUAGGUUAGGAAAGUUUUAUUUUCUUCUUUAGUUAGAAUAUUUUUUCCUUUUCCGACUAUCGUGUAUGGUGUAUAUAUUGGGGCAAGUUGUAUUGGAAUAAUUAUUGAGAAAACAAAUAAAAAGUUUUUUCUCUCAUUCGUCCAUAGUUUCCAUCUUCAGAUCCUUUCCAAACAUGAACUGUCUGCAAAGUGCAGAGCACGAGUAUUGGAUUUAAAGCAACCAACUAAUUUUAAAUACAUCAAAGUAUAUGGUCAUAAAUAAAUAUGAAAUCAAACCUUGUGAUCAUUACUUGUUAUAUUACAGAGAAUAGCAAUCAUAAAGUGCAAUGAAAAAUCAACCAAUAUUGAUGUUUUCCCCUUUUUGGUUGGUUGAAUCGUUUUUGCUAAAAAUCAUGCUUUUCCUUUUUUUUUUUUUUUCCCUCCAAUCUAACUUAGUCCUCAUAUAUACUUGUUGACAGAUGUUGCAUCAAAGAUCUGAGUACAUGUCAUGUUGUUUAAAUCAAUCCCAAAACAUGAAAGAAUAUAGUGCAAUUUGAAUUGCCAAGACAUUUCAGUUUUUGGAAAGCUCCCAUCUGUACAGGCCCCUCAAAAUAUUGGACAGGGUAAUUUUCUUCUUAGAAGCAAACUGAGAUCUAAUCCACCUACAUUUAGAUGUUACUAUGUCUCAAAUGUAGCUCCCCUUUUGCAGCAGCAUUCAGGACAUCCAAGCUACAAUAACAAACUAAGAAUUAUUCCAAUAAAUAAGAUUCAGCUACAUGAAACAGUGUUCACUUCAAACCGAGAAUCAUUAAAUAACGGUUUGAAGACCUAUUUACAUGGCUGAAUCUACAUAUAGUUCCAUCAUGACACCCUAUAAGAAUAAAAAGAAUAAAGCAUUUGAAGUGAUGGAUCUUCAAUGUAAUUUAUUUCAUCUCAACAAAUAAAAAUAACAAGGCUACAAAAAGAAUUUGGUUCAAGGUAAUCUGCACUCCUUGUGAAUCUAGUGAAUCGUGAACAUUGAAUAUUAACGAAUAGUAAGAUUAGUUCUAAUUCUGAUUUGAGCUUAUUCACCUUUCUGAUUGAAUCAAAAUUAAUCAUGUGAUUUUAGUGAUGUUGCACAAUUGACUAGUAUUUUUCAUCCUGGAUGAAGAAUCCCCCAGGUGAAAUUCGGAGGUUUAUAAGUUCAUCGCAAUUCUUAGUUACAGACAACAGAAAAUUUUCCAAAUCUGUAAUCUAUUGCUUAAUUGGAUGAGGAAAUAGAUAUUUCAUGCUAAUUAUGUGUAUUUAUACAUCUAAAUCAAAAGAAUGUAAAGGAAAGUAAUAAGAGUUUCAAUUAGAAAUGUUGAGGUUGUCUCAUAUCGGUUGUGGAUGGAGUUGGUAUUCAAUUUAUAAGUGUAAGGGAAAGUCUUACUUCUUGAACUAACUUUU
This 1498-nucleotide long non-coding RNA is filed under the name Olea europaea subsp. europaea. The record is from RNAcentral. Lineage: Eukaryota; Viridiplantae; Streptophyta; Magnoliopsida; Lamiales; Oleaceae.